Molecule: ribosomal RNA, 601 nt
Filed under: uncultured bacterium
Lineage: Bacteria
Description: bacterial SSU rRNA
Rfam family: Bacterial small subunit ribosomal RNA
Source: RNAcentral
GAUCAGGAUUCGUCUGAGUGAAGGUGAGGAAAGUGGCGGACGGGUGAGUAACGCGUGAGCAAUCUGCCUUGGAGUGGGGAAUAACGGCUGGAAACAGCCGCUAAUACCGCAUGAUGUGUCUGUCUCGCAUGGGGUGGACACCAAAGAUUUAUCGCUCUGAGAUGAGCUCGCGUCUGAUUAGCUAGUUGGCGGGGUAACGGCCCACCAAGGCGACGAUCAGUAGCCGGACUGAGAGGUUGGCCGGCCACAUUGGGACUGAGACACGGCCCAGACUCCUACGGGAGGCAGCAGUGGGGAAUAUUGGGCAAUGGGCGCAAGCCUGACCAAGCAACGCCGCGUGAAGGAAGAAGGCUUUCGGGUUGUAAACUUCUUUUCUGAGGGACGAAGAAAGUGACGGUACCUCAGGAAUAAGCCACGGCUAACUACGUGCCAGCAGCCGCGGUAAUACGUAGGUGGCAAGCGUUAUCCGGAUUUAUUGGGUGUAAAGGGCGUGUAGGCGGGAAUGCAAGUCAGAUGUGAAAACUAUGGGCUCAACCCAUAGCCUGCAUUUGAAACUGUAUUUCUUGAGUGCUGGAGAGGCAAUCGGAAUUCCGUGUGUAGC